Molecule: ribosomal RNA, 118 nt
Filed under: Hoeflea sp.
Lineage: Bacteria; Pseudomonadati; Pseudomonadota; Alphaproteobacteria; Hyphomicrobiales; Rhizobiaceae
Description: partial 16S ribosomal RNA
Rfam family: Bacterial small subunit ribosomal RNA
Source: RNAcentral
CAACUUGAGAGUUUGAUCCUGGCUCAGAACGAACGCUGGCGGCAGGCUUAACACAUGCAAGUCGAGCGCCCCGCAAGGGGAGCGGCAGACGGGUGAGUAACGCGUGGGAACGUGCCUU